ACUAAGUACCUGCGCGGGCAGCAAAUGCCAGGUACUGGAGAGCUCUUCAAUCAAAUCGUGCAGAAGAUGGCACAGCGAGAGCCGGGCGCGCUCAGGGCGUGCACGGGGACCAGCGAGGAUGAUGAGGGGAGGACGGGGGGGGCUGCGUCAUCUCCAUCCUUCCCGGGGGCUGCAGGUGCUGCAGGAGCAGGGGCGCGGACCCCAUGCACCUCUCUGGCUAGCAGCCAUUUUCCCCGCACGGGAGCACUUCCUCCCCUAAUCUCUGCGGUGGCUGGCGUGCACUGUUGCCUUCUUGUGUUGCUUAGAGGGGAUUAAAACAAAUGAGCACAGUCCCUGCCCCGGCAGGCUGAGGGCAGGAGCAGCGCCGGGCGCGGGGCUUCGCUGUGUGCGAGGCACCUGGCUGCUGCAGCUGUGCUGGGCAGGAGCCCAGGUCGCUUGCAGGGGCAAACUGGAGCUCCCUGUUUAUUUAUCUGCCUGAAAAUGUAAACUGGACUGGGAGCUGCUUUGCCUCCAGCCCCAGCUGAUUUCACCCUGGUGCUGUGCUCUCCAGGCCCGGGCUGGAUCGCAGAUGCUCAUCCCACAAUUUGGCUUUCUCCCCGUCGGGGACCUCCUGCUUCUGGGGAUGAAGGCAAAUGUGAACAGUAGGGGAUACGUUUGCCGGAGAAGUGCGUGUCCUUCCGCUCCCAGCAGCUUUCCUGGGAGGAGCUGAGUGCAGGGAAGCCCCAUCCAAGCUCCAGCCGCCUCUCGGGCUGGAUAACCGGCCUCUGCCUCUUCCAGAGGCUGCGGCUGCGUCCUGGUGUCCUCAUCCUGGAGCGCUCCUCGGCAGAGCAGUCAGCGGGACCAGCCUGGGGAGGUUUUUGGGUGCCGAUGGAUGCUCUGCAGAUCUGAAAACUGAGCCCUGAGGUAUGGGGCCCUGGAUUUGGGGAUGCUUCUAAACCUGAACUGGUUUUACAGAGACCUGGGGGUGAGGCUGGGCAUUUCCCCGUCCUUCCUGCCCCAUGCGCCAGACCCCUGCUCACACCACACACAGUGUGCGGUGAACUCGGCGCUGGAGACACUCCUGGUAGCUUGCAGCAGGCUGUAACGCGUAUGGCUGGGAAGGGUUAACGCUGUAUGUGUGCUGCACAGUUGGAUAUUUAUUUUUCCAAGCAUGCGUCUGCUUUAAGCAUUACAGUUUUUCCCUGUAGUUACAUUUGCAGUUGUGUUUGCUUUUUAUUUCAGCAAAUACUUGGUUCCCGACCUGAGGCCGGGGCAAGGAGUGCUGGGUGAGGGGAAGGUUCUCCGCGUCCCCCGAGAGCUUUGCCUUUGCCGUGCC
Molecule: long non-coding RNA, 1315 nt
Filed under: Anser brachyrhynchus (Pink-footed goose)
Lineage: Eukaryota; Metazoa; Chordata; Aves; Anseriformes; Anatidae
Description: lncRNA (ENSABRG00000002503.1)
Source: RNAcentral